This 670-nucleotide long non-coding RNA is filed under the name Helianthus annuus (common sunflower). Its description in RNAcentral is "hypothetical non coding rna". The record is from RNAcentral. Lineage: Eukaryota; Viridiplantae; Streptophyta; Magnoliopsida; Asterales; Asteraceae.
CUUUUCAUUGUGAAACCACUAGAAACAAGAAACUAAUAGUGUCUUAACUAUAUGCAAAUUUUAUUUUUUUGUUAUAUAUGCGUAAAUGAGUUUUACUUACGUAUAAGUGUCCGUAGCCAGAGGUUCCUCGAUAAUGUUGGAUAAAAGAUGCGCCUUCUCAUCGACAACUUGUAGCUAACCCAGUAACAAUUUAUUUUAUCAACGAAGGUGAUAUACAUAGAAAGGUAUCGUUAGAUAGAUAUAAAAUAUGAGUGUUUAUGGUCCGGUUUUGACGAAAACUAUGAGUGUUGAACCGGAUUCAUUACAAUAAAUACACUUACCUCCCUAUUCAACUUAAAAAUCUCUUAAACAUUUAUUGGACACAUGGACAAAAAUAGGGGUCCCCACUAUGAAUUAAAUAAAUGGGUACCAAUUCAAGCUCUAAACCACCCAUGGUGGGAUGUAAUGAUAAGCCAAUGGAUACAAGUUAAAAGACUAUAGUGUCGUCCAUAUGUAUGAUAUGUUGGUGGAUCUCACACUGCUCUUUAGCUUUCAGAAACAGUCUUGUAUUUAACUAUUUGUUAGAUUAAAUAAAUGAAAUGACUAAUAAUUUGUAUAAAGAAAUACUUACAAACCCUCCUCCGUCCCUAAAUUCUUUCACAUCGAGUAUAACAAGCCCAUCUUCCGCUGC